Molecule: ribosomal RNA, 514 nt
Filed under: uncultured Pleosporales
Lineage: Eukaryota; Fungi; Ascomycota; Dothideomycetes; Pleosporales
Description: eukaryotic LSU rRNA
Rfam family: 5.8S ribosomal RNA (bases 149-302)
Source: RNAcentral
UCAUUAUCGUAGGGCUUCGGCCCUGUCGAGAUAGAACCCUUGCCUUUUUGAGUACCUUUCGUUUCCUCGGCAGGCUCGCCUGCCAAUGGGGACCACAAAAAACACUUUGCAGUACCUGUAAUAGUCUGAACAAACAAACAAAAAUUAAAACUUUCAACAACGGAUCUCUUGGUUCUGGCAUCGAUGAAGAACGCAGCGAAAUGCGAUAAGUAGUGUGAAUUGCAGAAUUCAGUGAAUCAUCGAAUCUUUGAACGCACAUUGCGCCCUUUGGUAUUCCUUAGGGCAUGCCUGUUCGAGCGUCAUUUAAACCUUCAAGCUCAGCUUGGUGUUGGGUGACUGUCCGCUUCACCGCGGACUCGCCUCAAAAUUAUUGGCGGCCGGUACAUUGGCUUCGAGCGCAGCAGAAACGCGAACUCGGGCCCGUCGUAUUGGCUCCCAGAAGCUAUCUUCACAAUUUUGACCUCGGAUCAGGUAGGGAUACCCGCUGAACUUAAGCAUAUCAAUAAGCGGAGGA